GGGAGGAGCAGGGGUUGAUCCUGGGGGGAUCCCAGAUCCCGGAGGAUCCCGGGAAAAGCAGGGAUUGGUUCAGGGGGGGAUCCCAAAAACCCCAGAUCCCAGGAGGAUCAGGGGUUGAUCCAGGGCAGAUCCCAAAUCUGGGAGGAGCAGGGAUUGGUUCAGGGCGGAUCCCAGAUCCCGGGAGCAGCAGGGAUUGGUUCAGGGUGGAUCCCAGAUCCAGGGAGCAGCAGGGAUUGGUUCAGGGCGGAUCCCAGGAGGACCCUGGGCGGAUCCCAGAGGAUCCCGGGCAGAUCCCGGGUGGAUCAGAGGUUGGUUCAGGGCGGAUCCCAGGUCCAGGGAGCAGCAGGGAUUGGUUCAGGGUGGAUUCCGGCGGAUCCCGGGCGGAUCCCAGAGGAUCCCGGGUGGAUCAGGGGUUGUUUCAGGGCGGAUCCCAGAUCCAGGUGGAUCCCGGAGGAUCCCAGGAGGACCCCGGGAAGAUCCCAGAGGAUCCCGGGCGGAUCCCGGGUGGAUCAGGGGUUGUUUCAGGGCGGAUCCCAGAUCCGGGCAGAUCCCGGAGGAUCCCAGGAGGAUCCUGGGAGGAUCCAGGGAGCAGCAGGAAUUGGUUCAGGGUGGAUACAGGCGGAUCCCGGGCGGAUCCCGGAGGAUCCCGGGUGGAUCAGGGGUUGUUUCAGGGUGGAUCCCAGAUCCCAGGAGCAGCAGGGAUUGGUUCAGGGCGGAUCCCAGGAGAACCCCGGGCGGAUCCCAGAUGAUCCCGGGUGGAUCAGGGGUUGUUUCAGGGCGGAUCCCAGGUCCCGGUGGAUCCCAGAGGAUCCCGGGUGGAUCAGGGGUUGUUUCAGGGCGGAUCCCAGGUCCCGGUGGAUCCCAGAGGAUCCCGGGCGGAUCCCGGGUGGAUCCCGGGUGGAUCAGGGGUUGUUUCAGGGCGGAUCCCGGGUGGAUCCCAGAGGAUCCCGGGUGGAUCCCGGGUGGAUCAGGGGUUGUUUCAGGGUGGAUCCCAGAUCCCAGGCGGAUCCCGGAUCCCAGAGGAUCCCGG
This 1030-nucleotide long non-coding RNA is filed under the name Parus major (Great Tit). RNAcentral's name for it is "lncRNA (ENSPMJG00000003181.1)". Lineage: Eukaryota; Metazoa; Chordata; Aves; Passeriformes; Paridae. The record is from RNAcentral.